GACGAACGCUGGCGGCGUGCCUAAUACAUGCAAGUAGAACGCUGAAGGAGGAGCUUGCUUCUCUGGAUGAGUUGCGAACGGGUGAGUAACGCGUAGGUAACCUGCCUGGUAGCGGGGGAUAACUAUUGGAAACGAUAGCUAAUACCGCAUAAGAGUAGAUGUUGCAUGACAUUCGCUUAAAAGGUGCAAUUGCAUCACUACUAGAUGGACCUGCGUUGUCUUAGCUAGUUGGUGGGGUAACGGCUCUACAAGGCGACGAUACAUAGCCGAACAGGGAAGGUUGUCGGCCCAACCGGGACCGGAGAACGGCCCCGACUCCUACGGGAGGGAACAGUAAGGAAUUUUCGGGCAAGGACGGAAGUCUGAACGGGCAACGCCGCGGGAGUGAAGAAGGUUUUCGGGUCGUAAAGAUCUGUUGUAUGAGAAGAAAGAGUGUUGGAGUGGAAAGUGCACACUGUGACGGUACCUUAUCAGAAAGCGACGGCUAACUACGUG
RNAcentral lists this ribosomal RNA (495 nucleotides) under uncultured bacterium. RNAcentral's name for it is "partial 16S ribosomal RNA". It matches the Rfam family "Bacterial small subunit ribosomal RNA", at positions 28 to 507 of the family's 1533-position model. The record is from RNAcentral.